AAUGAAAGGAGAAGAAAGAAGAAGUCUGUGAACAAAAAUUAAGUCUGGCUCACCUUUUCGCAUGUUUUCCUCAGUUUAGAACUUCACAUACAGAUGUUCACAGCUGUUUUCCAGUUAUGGAGAUGACCAGUAUGGAGCAGAUGACAAGGAUGGGAGAUUUAAGUUUCCUUUGACAUCACAAUGUGCAACAGAGCACCAAAAAUACCUGAGCAAUAAAAUCUGGCGGGCAUAUUCUUUGGAAUGCCCUUAGUGGAAAUGUUCCAGUUUUUGCCAUAAGCAACUUCUAUUUGCUCUGGUUUUUCUCUUUUCUUCUUGAGAGACUUUAAGGCAAAGAGAGCCAGUUUCAACAUUCAAUUGAUCUUUAAAAAAUCACAUCCUGCAGAUAUGGGGAAAAUGCUAAGAAGAAAAGGGGGCAAAAGCAAAACUUUUAAGGAGGGGACGAAGUCUUACCCUGCCAAUAAGAAAUCCCAUCUGGGUACAUCUUGAGUAAAGAUAAAACUAAGAAUACAGAUCG
Long non-coding RNA from Pantherophis guttatus, 514 nucleotides. RefSeq lists it as uncharacterized. NCBI's taxonomy places the organism in Eukaryota, Metazoa, Chordata, Lepidosauria, Squamata, Colubridae. The record is from RefSeq and is a predicted model, not a curated record.